UUCCGGUUGAUCCCGCCGGAGGCUACCGCUAUUGGAGUUCGAUUAAGCCAUGCGAGUCGCGAGUCUUAGGGACUCGGCGUACCGCUCAGUAACACGUGGGUAACCUGCCCUAUGCUGGGGGAUAACCUCGGGAAACUGAGAAUAAUACCCCAUAGUUCACCACGCCUGGAACGGUGGGUGGAUGAAAGCUCCGGCGGCAUAGGAUGGGCCUGCGGCGUAUCAGGUUGUAGGGGGUGUAAUGUACCCUCUAGCCCUCUACGCGUACGGGUGUUGAGAGACAUCGCCCGGAGAUGGAUUCUGAGACACGAAUCCAGACCCCACGGGGUGCAGCAGGCGCGAAAACUUGGCAAUGCGAGAAAUCGUGACCAGGGAACUCCAAGUGCAUCGGGUAAGACCGAUGCUUUUCUUGACUCUUCAAAGGUCUUGGAAUAAGGGGUGGGUAAGGACGGUGCCAGCCGCCGCGGUAAUACCGGCGCCCCAAGUGGUAGUCGCUUUUAUUGGGCCUAAAACGUCCGUAGCCGGUCUGGUACAUUCGUGGGUAAAUCAAGGCGCUCAACGUCUUGAAUUCUGCGAGCACGGCCAGACUUGGGACCGGGUGAGGUGUGGGGUACUCUCAGGGUAGGGGUAAAAUCCUGUCAUCCUGAGAGGACCACCUGUUGCGAAGGCGCCACACUAGAACGGAUCCGACGGUCAGGGACGAAGCCUAGGGGCACGAACCGGAUUAGAUACCCGGGUAGUCCUAGGUGUAAACGCUGUGGACUUGAUGUUGGGAGUGCUCCGAGCACCCUCAGUGUCGAAGCGAAGGUGAUAAGUCCACUGCCUGGGGAGUACGGUCGCAAGGCUGAAACUUAAAGGAAUUGGCGGGGGAGCACUGCAACCUGAGGAUUGUGCGGUUUAAUUGGAUUCAACGCCGG
Molecule: ribosomal RNA, 914 nt
Filed under: uncultured marine archaeon
Lineage: Archaea
Description: bacterial SSU rRNA
Rfam family: Archaeal small subunit ribosomal RNA
Source: RNAcentral